CCUUAGAUGUUCUGGGCCGCACGCGCGCUACACUGACAGAGCCAACGAGUAUAAACCUUGCCCGAGAGGGUUGGGUAAUCUUGUUAAACUCUGUCGUGCUGGGGAUAGAGCAUUGCAAUUAUUGCUCUUCAACGAGGAAUAUCUAGUAAGCGCAAGUCAUCAGCUUGCGUUGAUUACGUCCCUGCCCUUUGUACACACCGCCCGUCGCUACUACCGAUUGAAUGGCUCAGUGAGGCCUUCGGACUGGCUCAGGGAGGUUGGCAACGACCACCCAGAGCCGGAAAGUUGGUCAAACUUGGUCAUUUAGAGGAAGUAAAAGUCGUAACAAGGUUUCCGUAGGUGAACCUGCGGAAGGAUCAUUAAGAAAAAUCCACAGCCGCGCGGUCUCGGCCGUCGCGGCGCCUGGGCUUCGGCUCAAGGUUAAACCCUUUGUGAACCAAACAAAUCUUUUCGCUUCGGUAGCAGGUCGGUUGGAGCUUCACCGCUCCCGCCGCGCCGUCAGCCUGCCGGCAGCAACCAAAACAAAACUCUUGUAAGCUUAAAAACAUGUAUGUCUGAAAACCAUUUUCGAAUGAAAAUUAAAACUUUCAACAACGGAUCUCUUGGUUCUCGCAUCGAUGAAGAACGCAGCGAAACGCGAUAGUUAAUGUGAAUUGCAGAAUUCAGUGAAUCAUCGAGUCUUUGAACGCACAUUGCGCCCCCUGGUAUUCCGGCGGGCAUGUCUGUUUGAGCGUCAUUUCAACACCUCGUCCGUUGACUUUUUUUGUCAUCCGGUAACGGCCAUGGGCUUGUCGAGCGGUUCCUCGGAAUCGCUGGCGGGCUUUAAAGUUGAACGCUCCGCGGGUGACUCAUUGCCAAACCGAACUAGUAGAAUUUCUUUCUGUUGGGUAAGGUUGGGCUCACCUCGCCUGAACAAAACCACAAAUUCUUUAAGGUUUGACCUCAGAUCAGACAAGGAUACCCGCUGAACUUAAGCAUAUCAAUAAGCGGAGGAAAAGAAACCAACAGGGAUUGCCUCAGUAACGGCGAGUGAAGCGGCAACAGCUCAAAUUUGAAAUCUGGAGUUUUUAACUUCCGAGUUGUAAUUUGAAGAGGAUGCUUCGGUUAUGACCCCGGCCUAAGUUCCUUGGAACAGGACGUCGCAGAGGGUGAGAAUCCCGUACGCGGCUGGCGGUUUAUUUCCAUGUGUAGCUCCUUCGAAGAGUCGAGUUGUUUGGGAAUGCAGCUCUAAAUGGGUGGUAAAUUUCAUCUAAAGCUAAAUACUGGCGAGAGACCGAUAGCGCACAAGUAGAGUGAUCGAAAGAUGAAAAGCACUUUGAAAAGAGAGUUAAACAGUACGUGAAAUUGUUGAAAGGGAAGCGCUUGCAAUCAGACUUGCUUGCGGUUGAUCAACGUUCCUUUUGGUUCGUGCACUCUGCCGUUUGCAGGCCAGCAUCGGUUAGGACGGCGGGACAAAGGCUCCGGGAAUGUGGCUCCCUUCGGGGAGUGUUAUAGCCCGGUGCGUAAUGCCGCCUGACCUGACCGAGGACCGCGCUUCGUGCUAGGAUGCUGGCUUAAUGGUUGUAAGCGAC
RNAcentral lists this ribosomal RNA (1571 nucleotides) under Orbilia lentiformis. RNAcentral's name for it is "eukaryotic LSU rRNA". The stretch from base 938 to 1571 matches the Rfam family "Eukaryotic large subunit ribosomal RNA", at positions 1 to 648 of the family's 3401-position model. Lineage: Eukaryota; Fungi; Ascomycota; Orbiliomycetes; Orbiliales; Orbiliaceae. The record is from RNAcentral.